CCCUCCUUUUUCAAUUUGAAAUCAAAUUCUCUUUGAAUGAGAUCUUCUAAUUCGAAUUUGUUUCUUCAAGUACCAACAAUUCAUUUAAUAUUUCAAGAGUCCAAAUGGGAAAGUAAAUAUAAAUUGGUCAACAAUAGUCAACCUUCCAUGAUUGAAUUGUUGACCAAAAGUCAACUCAAAGCCAAAUGUGAAUAUCUUUGCAAUUCUUCUUUUUUUCAAAGUCUUUU
Molecule: long non-coding RNA, 227 nt
Filed under: Lathyrus oleraceus (garden pea)
Lineage: Eukaryota; Viridiplantae; Streptophyta; Magnoliopsida; Fabales; Fabaceae
Description: Pisum sativum (pea) long non-coding RNA (PSAT_LNC028520)
Source: RNAcentral